CCUACGGGGGGCAGCAGUGGGGAAUUUUCCGCAAUGGGCGAAAGCCUGACGGAGCAAUACCGCGUGAGGGAGGAAGGCUCUUGGGUCGUAAACCUCUUUUCUUAGGGAAGAACAAAAUGACGGUACCUAAGGAAUAAGCAUCGGCUAACUCUGUGCCAGCAGCCGCGGUAAUACAGAGGAUGCAAGCGUUAUCCGGAAUGAUUGGGCGUAAAGCGUCCGUAGGUGGUUUGUCAAGUCCGUGGUUAAAGCGCGAAGCUCAACUUCGUAAGGGCCAAGGAAACUGACAGACUAGAGUGAAGUAGGGGUAGAGGGAAUUCCCAGUGUAGCGGUGAAAUGCGUAGAGAUUGGGAAGAACACCGGUGGCGAAAGCGCUCUACUGGACUUAGACUGACACUGAGGGACGAAAGCUAGGGGAGCGAAAGGGAUUAGAUACCCCAGUAGUC
This 443-nucleotide ribosomal RNA is filed under the name uncultured bacterium. RNAcentral's name for it is "bacterial SSU rRNA". It matches the Rfam family "Bacterial small subunit ribosomal RNA", at positions 338 to 795 of the family's 1533-position model. The record is from RNAcentral.